This 87-nucleotide transfer RNA is filed under the name Coccidioides immitis. Its description in RNAcentral is "tRNA-Asp". It matches the Rfam family "tRNA". From Rfam's summary of the family: Transfer RNA (tRNA) molecules are approximately 80 nucleotides in length. The record is from RNAcentral. RNAcentral also lists the same sequence under 5 other names. Lineage: Eukaryota; Fungi; Ascomycota; Eurotiomycetes; Onygenales; Onygenaceae.
UCCGUGAUGGUCUAACGGUCAUGAUUUCCGCUUGUCAUUGUUCGAUAACAAGCGCGGGAGACCGGGGUUCGACUCCCCGUCGCGGAG